CCUGGUGUCAAAGUAUUUAGGAAGCAAAUAUCGAGCAUAGCAGAAGCAUCAACGUCAAAGGCAACACUCUUCUCGCCUAAGACAUUUUGAAUACUGCUAUGAGUGUUGCCAGAUGAAUCAGUUAUCAUCAUACUCAAGGUUUGUCCAUCUCCCAUAUUACCAGUAGUUUUCAGAUUAACAAUUACAAGGUUCUUUUCUCCUACGUAUUCACGAAGACAGAAAGGCUCUGGAUUGGUUUUGGCAGGAAUAUCAAAGUUUAAAGCAUGGACAACAGUCAAUAAUGCUAGCAUAAAGAACAACGAAGAUUUCAAAGAAACCAUCAUUUUGAAAUAACUCCAAAUGUUUGGGAUACGAUAUGAACGACGUAAUAACCACCACUGCUGUAUACAGGUUGGCAAAAGAAAGAAAUCUUGCCUGUUCUAGUUAAAUGAUGGUAAACCGAAUGCCAAGGGGGAGUGUGCGCUGCGUCUCAUUAACUUUCCUUACAGCUACAAUGCAACAAAAAAUACAAAAAUAAGAAUUCUG
This is a non-coding RNA of Schizosaccharomyces pombe (fission yeast), 525 nucleotides long. NCBI's taxonomy places the organism in Eukaryota, Fungi, Ascomycota, Schizosaccharomycetes, Schizosaccharomycetales, Schizosaccharomycetaceae. The record is from the annotation of a GenBank genome assembly.